Molecule: ribosomal RNA, 505 nt
Filed under: uncultured fungus
Lineage: Eukaryota; Fungi
Description: eukaryotic LSU rRNA
Rfam family: 5.8S ribosomal RNA (bases 163-316)
Source: RNAcentral
AUAGUGUUCGCUGCCCUCGCGGGUAGCAAGCCUCACCCGUGUAUAUUAUAUCUUUGUUGCUUUGGCACGCCGCCUUCGGGCACUGGCUUCGGCUGGCUCGUGUGUGUCAGAGGCCUUAAAACUCUGAAUGUUAGUGUCGUCUGAGUACUAUUUAAUAGUUAAAACUUUCAACAACGGAUCUCUUGGUUCUGGCAUCGAUGAAGAACGCAGCGAAAUGCGAUAAGUAAUGUGAAUUGCAGAAUUCAGUGAAUCAUCGAAUCUUUGAACGCACAUUGCGCCCCCUGGUAUUCCGGGGGGCAUGCCUGUCCGAGCGUCAUUACAACCCUCAAGCUCAGCUUGGUGUUGGGCCCCGCCGCCCCGGCGGGCCCUAAAGUCAGUGGCGGUGCCGUCCGGCUCCGAGCGUAGUAAUUCUUCUCGCUCUGGAGGUCCGGUCGUGUGCUCGCCAGCAACCCCCAAUUUUUUUCAGGUUGACCUCGGAUCAGGUAGGGAUACCCGCUGAACUUAA